ACGCUGGCGGCGUGCCUAACACAUGCAAGUCAACUUGACUGAAGGAGCAAUCUGACAGUAGAGUGGCGCGAGGGUGCGUAACGCGUAAGUAACUUGCCCCAAGGUAAGGAAUAACGUCGAGAAAUCGGCGCUAAUACCUCAUAAUGCAGCGGAUCCGCAUGGAUAUGUUGUUAAAGGUUUACCGCCUUGGGAUAGGCUUGCGUCUGAUUAGUUAGUUGGUGUGGUAACGGCACACCAAGGCUACGAUCAGUAACUGGUCUGAGAGGAUGAUCAGCCACACUGGAACUGAGACACGGUCCAGACUCCUACGGGAGGCAGCAGUGAGGAAUAUUGGGCAAUGCUCGAAAGAGUGACCCAGCAACGCCGCGUGGAGGAUGAAGGUAUUCUAUAUCGUAAACUCCUGUGAGAGCAGACGAAAGACAGAUUAUUAAUCUGGAUGACUGUAUGCUCAGAGGAAGCCCCGGCUAACUACGUG
Molecule: ribosomal RNA, 475 nt
Filed under: uncultured bacterium
Lineage: Bacteria
Description: bacterial SSU rRNA
Rfam family: Bacterial small subunit ribosomal RNA
Source: RNAcentral